Centruroides sculpturatus (bark scorpion) is the source of this 593-nucleotide long non-coding RNA. RefSeq lists it as uncharacterized. NCBI's taxonomy places the organism in Eukaryota, Metazoa, Arthropoda, Arachnida, Scorpiones, Buthidae. The transcript is spliced from 3 exons. The record is from RefSeq and is a predicted model, not a curated record.
GUUAUUUAUAUCUUAUAGCAAAGGAAUUUAGAAAGGCGGUCGUCGUCUUAUUUAAUUAAAACAAUUUAUUUUUAAAAUAAAGGAUUAAACAUUUCAAUUUCGCUACAUUUUUACGUUGUUUAAGUCCAUGUAUAAUAGUUUAUUUUAAAUAAUAAUAAUUAAAACAAUAACACUCAGGUAUUGUUUACUUCGUUACGCGAAUCAAAAAUUUACCAAGAUUUGCUCCUGGAUCUUCCUUUGCAGGUUUCUAUUGAAUGCAUAUUUCAUGUGGUUACACCUAUGUCUAAGGAACAAAAAUGAUAGAAACUACAGGGAAAAUUAUUUGAAGUUAAUUGUUCGGAGAUAUUUAAUGUAUACGUAUUAAGAGGAAACAAAUAUUCGGGGAAAAAGAAUUGCUAUAAAAAUAUCUUCUCCAAUCCGUUGGAUAGAUUUUAUAACAUAAAAUAUCCAGAAUUAAAAUUCCGAAAGGAAAAAUUGUCAUUCGGCCAAGUUUAGAACUACCAGCCAAAAAGUAUGUGCGUCAUCUGUACAGCUAGAUGAAUAUUUAUUGUGGGUACUGUACAUGAAAUUUUUUAAAAAAUCCGAUUUUUUUA